GUUCUAGCUCAGUGGGCGGGAGAGCAUAAAUUGCAGCUGUCCUCAGCCUUGCUGCAUUUUUACCGAAGACUUCCAAAGGCAACAUGAAGUUGGGGGGUUUUCUCCUCCUGGCGAUGCUCCUCACCCUCAGCUCAGAGGUACAGGAGCUCCAGGCUGCGGUGAGACCACGGCAACUUCUGGGCACCUGCAUUGAGGUCUGCAGCGGCGACUGGGAUUGUGACCUAGGGGAGAGGUGCGUCAGCAAUGGGUGUGGCCAUGUCUGUGCUGCAGUUUAAGGACAGAUGAAGACUCAUCUUGAAGGUCAUCCUUCCCUAAUAAUUUCUCAACACUUCCUGUCUUCAAAGAUACAACUGGAACUCCUUGACCAGGAAGACAGAUGAAAAUGGGGGUCUGUGGGUAGAGAUUACAAGAGAUGUGGUGGGGAAGGGGAAAGAGUCAUUUCUUUUAAUAAAUCAUCAUUGUCAACAGUA
Molecule: long non-coding RNA, 470 nt
Organism: Mustela lutreola (European mink)
Lineage: Eukaryota; Metazoa; Chordata; Mammalia; Carnivora; Mustelidae
Exons: 3
Source: RefSeq, a predicted model, not a curated record